RNAcentral lists this ribosomal RNA (4514 nucleotides) under Juglanconis oblonga. Its description in RNAcentral is "large subunit ribosomal RNA". The stretch from base 1 to 2472 matches the Rfam family "Bacterial large subunit ribosomal RNA". Lineage: Eukaryota; Fungi; Ascomycota; Sordariomycetes; Diaporthales; Juglanconidaceae. The record is from RNAcentral.
UAUUAUGGAAAUAUAGUGUCAUGUAUUAAAGAGAAGGGUAUUAUUUUAUGCAGUGCAUAUAAACUCUAAGAUAAAUUACUUGAUAAACGAAGCGAAUUGAAAUAUCUUAGUAGCUUUAGGAAAAGAAAUCAAAAGAGAUUUUAUGAGUAGUGUGAACGAAAAUAAAACAGCCUAUUUAUAAUAAGUAAAAUGGUUUAAAAACUGUUUGAAUAUAACCUACUCGUUGGGCGUUCCGCAAGGUUGACGUUUCGGUUGGUAGAUGGGGAACCUACCUCAAAGGCUAAAUAUAAUACAUGAGCAUCAGAGAAAAGUACCGUAAGGGAAUUAUUGAAAUAGUAGUUUUAUAAGCAGCUCGAGAUAUUUUCUAAAAUAAGAGCGUACCUUUUGCAUAAUGGGUCACCAAGUUAACAUUAGAUGCAAGCAUAAUUGAGUAGGGGGUACACAGUCUUAAAACUAAUGCAGCGGGCUGCGAAAAAUCGGGUUGUUAUACUUUUAACUAAGUGACCUUUGAUCUAGUACACCUGACAUGGGUUCCCUUGACUGUAAUGGGGGAUGUAUAAAGUUUGUGAGAGUCUACUUCCCGUCGGGCAUCAAAAAGAUGUUCGGCGUCCAAUGAGGGGAAAUUUUCCUCCUGGAAGUGUGCCGGAGCAACUGAGAAUUGUAAAUCCGGCGAGAUUUUGUGGUUAAUACCCACUUAAUCCGACGACGGUAAAACAAGUCUAAUGUCUCCGAAAAAAAAAUGCGUAGUUAAAACGAUCAUAAUGUAACAGAAAAUGAUAAGUGUCUAAAGUUAGACCCGAAGCCUAGUGAUCUUACUAUAGUCAGGGCUUAAGUGGCUCGAACGGGUUAUUGUUGCAAAAAUAUCCGAUGAACUGUGGUAAGUAUGGUGAUUUCUGCGAAACCUAUAAUAGUAGGCAAUUUAAGUAACAUUAUAGCAGGUACAGAACUUAAUCUCAGACCAGAUGUACAUAUUUCAUAUCUUUUAUUAAAGCCCUCCGGGCGUAGAUAGAUAUAUGAAAAUACAUUGUUCGCUGGUACAUAUCGGGGGGCCGUAGCAAGCUUUAUCGGUGAGUAUGUAGACUCGGAAUGGCUUAUAUGGAUCUUGAAUGAUCAGACAUAGAAUGAUAAGGUUGUAUGUCAAAAGGGAAACAGCCCAGAACAAAAGUUAAGGUUCCAAAAUUAUUGUUCAGUGAAAAUUAAGAAGGUAUUUAUUAGAGUCGACCAGAAGAUGGGCUUAGAAGCAGCCAUAAUUUAAAGACCUCGUAACAGAGCGCUUGUUAAAUCUUUAGAUGCAUCGAAAAUUUAACGGAUCUAAACAAUAUACCGAAACUUUGUCCUCAAUUAAUACUAUACACAAAUAUAUUUUAUUAAAGCUCGUUAUUAGCGGUAAUAUACCAAAAAAAAAAAUAACUAAAAAAAAGUGCUCGAGUCCCCGCGGGGACUUCCGUCAGCUUUGCUGACUCAAGGAGUCCCCUGGGUCGCCUUCCAGGCGAAGGUUAUUAUUUAAUAAUUUUUAUUUAAGGGUUAAUUGCAGGGGUAGCAGAACGUUGGGUUAUAUUAGAUUUUGAAUUUUUUAAAUCAAAAUAAACAAAACCUCAAGUGAUAAUGGUGACAUGAGUAACGAAAAGAUCUAAUAUUCAGAGCAGUACCUUCAAUAAACUGAAAUAGAUGAGGAGGGAAGGGAUAUUGAGAACUCGCCUAAAGCUUAAGGUUACCAGUCAAACGGCCUCUAAGUUUAUAACCUGAAGGUUAAAACGAUGAGUUAACAGUGCUAAUUGCUCGCAUAUACUUCGUUUUUGGUCGAGGGGGUGAGGGGUGGUGAGAGGUAUAUGCUGCAUAUCGUGUAGAACAUUUGGGUGUAAAAUGAAGUUAACUGUUUCUCAUUUUAUGUAAGUGGAAAAUGUGCUGGAAAAAACCGAUAUGUUGUAAUUAGUGGCUAUGCUUGGGGUAAGCAUUUAGUGUGAGAGAGGGCAUAGUCGGGACCGUACCUGGAAACUACCGAACAAGUAAGCUAGUAGAGAAUACGAAGGCGUAAGAGAUAACAAUCAUAAAAAAGGAACUCGGCAAAUUGAUACCAAAACUUCGGGAAAAGGUAGGCUCAUUAGUCUUGAUUAAUACAAGUAAAAAGGAAGAAGCAUAAAAGGAUGUUGUACGACUGUUUAAUUAAAACACAGCACUUUGCGAAAAGAUGAUAAAUCUAAGUAUUGAGUGUGAUACCUGCCCGGUGCCGGCUGGUUAACGGAAAUAACUAAAUUGUCGUAAAUUUGGUGUAGAAGGAAACCCCGGCUAAUGGCGGCCUUAUACCUGAGGGUCCUAAGGUAGCGGAAUACCUUGGCCGUUAAAUGCGGUCUUUGCAUGAAUGGUGUAACGAUACAACAGCUGUCUCUAUGAUUGACUCUGUGAAAUUGGAAUAACUGUGCAGAUACAGUUUACCUCUAGUUGGACGAGAAGACCCUAUGCAGCUUUACUGUUACUAAUUAUUUAGUAUAAUAACAGCAAAUUUGAGAAGAUAAGGUAAUCGACUGUAUAGAAGUGAAAUACCUUUAUUUGCUUAUUGUAUUAUUAUGGAAUAGUCUGUAGAUCGUCUAGCAAAUUAAGUGUGUUUGAGCGCACCUCGUAAGAUACUUCUCAUCCCCCAUAUCCCCCUCCGGGGGAUGAGGGAGAUGAGAAGUAGAAUCUAUGUCCCCAGAUCCCCCAGAUCCCCCUCCGGGGGAUGAGGGGGAUGAGGGGAUUAGAGGUGCACUCAAACUAUAAAAAAAAUUUUAUUAACUCUCCGUAGGAGCCCCCGAAGGGGAAGAACACUUAUCUUGUGGUAGCUAUAUAUAAAAUUAGUGCCUCAAAUGAUGUAGUUUUCUGCUUGGGUGCACAUGAAAUUAUGUAUGGUGGCGGUUAUAGACUAGAAACAUCUAAUUCUAUGAUCUAUGGAUUAGGAUAAAGGUACCGUGAGCGAUACUUAGAGGACUAAGAGAACCAAAAGGUUUAAAGUAGCGUAGCGAUACUUCGAUUAUACGAAGAUAAUGAUUCAUAGAAAAGGGAUAACAUUUGCUAGGAGACAGUUUAUGCGGGGCACAGACCCCAUAAAGAGUAGAUGGGAGUGUCUAAGGAUUGUGAUGUUGAUUGCGGCGUAAGCUCGUGUUUGAAUUUUUAAUCACGAAUCCCCUCCAGGGGUAUAAAAUCAGGGAUCUGGAAUAAAUCUCCUAAGGGGGGGAUCGCAAUUAUUAAUUUUUUAAUAUCUCUUUUUAGGUGCUUAUCGUGCACCUAAUAGAUUCUUCUAUUAGGUGCACGAUAAGAAAAGAAAAGAAUAUAAUUUUGUUUGCAUGUAUUAUAUAACUUAGUUGUAUAUAAUCCUUUGCUAGUACGACAUAUGAGGGCGUAUAUAUUAUUAAAAGGGUAAGAUUUAAGCUAUAGUGAAAUUAGCUUUAGUAAAAAAAAGUACUUAAUAAUAAAAAUUAAAUUAAACGAAAAGCAAAUAUAUUUUGUUUUGUAUAAUAAUACUAUUAUGUGUAGGGUGGGCUAGUUUGAGCGCACCUCGUAAGAUACUUCAUAUCCCCCAGAUCCCCCUCCGGGGGAUGAGGGGGAUGAGGGGAUGAGAGGAGCACUCAAACUCGCCAUAAUGGGAUAAUUCUACUUUUUUUCUAGUUAUUAAUUAAUACUUAGCAGUAUUUUUAAUAAUAAUGUAAACUAUUUACCAAGUUUAACGGCUUAAUCUUGCUUUACUGUUUGAUUCACAACAAAUCUUACAGUCGCGUAAGCGGGGCAUAGGAUCACAAGACACAUAAAGGAAAGGUCUUGGAUUAUUGGAAAAGCUACGCUAGGGAUAACAGGCUAAUUUGCGCAAGAGUGUACUUAAUGAGUGCGCGGUUUGGCACCUCGAUGUCGGCUUAACUUCUCCUCUGGGAUGCAGGACCUCGGUAGGGUUCGACUGUUCGUCGAUUAAUAAGUUACAUGAGCUGGGUUAAAUACGUCGUGAGACAGUAUGGUUUCUAUCUUCUAGAGGGAAUUAGAAUAAAAUAAGGAGUAACCUAGUACGAAAGGAACGUGGGGAAUUAAGUUAUUCUGGGUAAUACCAGGGUAUACUUUAUUAACCUCUGGUUUACCUGUUGUUUAUAUGCCCGAUAUUAAUUUAGGUAUAAGGGUUAUUACUAUAAUAGUAUAGUGAAAACGUUUUAUACAGGGAUACUACUUUCACUUAGGUAGUUGAAUAUAACUAUGCUUGGGAAGUGUAGUUAUAUUAUAUAGUAUAGGCACGGCAGGAAAGCUAAGUUAGUCCAAGAUAAGUGCUGAAAGCAUAUAGGCACGAGGCUUACCUUAAGAUAUUUCUGAAAUAGACGUAAUAUAAGAUUACGAAAUUCCAACCCCACCACCAUCCACCUUGCUUUUGAAGUAAGGGGAUCAUUGGGGGGGGUGUAUCUAAGUGAUAUAGUAUGGGCAUAGGCUUUGUUUGUAAUAAUCAGGAGAUUUUUAGGAAAAAAGUACUAAUUAUCUAAAUACUAUUCUAGAUAAUAUCUAAGAUA